Canis lupus familiaris (dog) is the source of this 718-nucleotide long non-coding RNA. RefSeq lists it as uncharacterized. The record is from RefSeq and is a predicted model, not a curated record. The transcript has 4 exons. NCBI's taxonomy places the organism in Eukaryota, Metazoa, Chordata, Mammalia, Carnivora, Canidae.
UAGGAUGACUGCCCUUACUAAAAAGGCCCAGGAAAGUUCGCUGUCCCUUUCUACCUUGUGAAGUUUCAGUGAAAAACAACAAUGUAGGAAGCAGGCCCUCAAGAGACACCAAAUCUGCCAACACCUUGAUCUUGGGUUUUCCAUCCUCCAGAACUAAAUACAAGAGUGUCGAAGAGAAAAUGUGCAAGUUCACCUGGUCAAUAAAGCGACUCUAUUCAGGUGAAGAGGCAAGCAGGACAAACCAGGACAGGCCUGGAGGCCUAAGGAAGGGGCUUGUCUUUAGCUCAAGAGCUACAGAGAAAGAUGAAGAAAUCAAGACUCAGAGAUGUUAAUUACCUAACUCAAGACCAUCCAAUUAUUAAGUUUAUGAUGCAGUGGGGAAAAAAAAAAAAUCAAUCCCAGGUGUGACUCCAAAGAUGAACUCCAACCAUCAACCCAUAUUUCCCAUGUCUGGGUAUGUAAGGCUCUCAGCCACUUCUUGUGUAAUCUGUAUCAUAUCAAACCUAAAAUAAGUUUAGUGGGCAAUAGUAGUUUUCAGUGAAUCCUUCAUAAUUAUUUUUUUUUAAAAACUUUUAUUUAUGCAGAGUAAGCAAACUGAAGUAUAGCUGACACACAAUGCCACAUUAGUUUCAGAUGUACAACACAAUUCCAAAGUUUAUUCAUUAUGCUAUGCUCAGCAUACAUGUAGUUACAUCUGUCACUAAGAAUGCUAUUACAA